RNAcentral lists this ribosomal RNA (273 nucleotides) under uncultured bacterium. RNAcentral describes it as "partial 16S ribosomal RNA". It matches the Rfam family "Bacterial small subunit ribosomal RNA", at positions 524 to 796 of the family's 1533-position model. The record is from RNAcentral.
UACGGGGGGAGCAAGCGUUGUUCGGAUUUACUGGGCGUAAAGGGCGCGUAGGCGGCGCAACAAGUCACUUGUGAAAUCUCCGUGCUUAACUCGGAGCGGCCAAGUGAUACUGUCGUGCUGGAGUGCGGAAGGGGCAACCGGAAUUCUUGGUGUAGCGGUGAAAUGCGUAGAUAUCAAGAGGAACACCUGCGGCGAAGGCGGGUUGCUGGGCCGACACUGACGCUGAGGCGCGAAAGCUAGGGGAGCGAACGGGAUUAGAAACCCUAGUAGUCC